AGAAUCAACGCUGGCGGCGUGCCUAACACAUGCAAGUCGCACGAGAAAGGGGAGCAAUCCCUGAGUACAGUGGCGCACGGGUGAGUAACACGUGAAUAAUCUACCUCCGAGUGGGGAAUAACUGAGAGAAAUCUUAGCUAAUACCGCAUAAUACCCACGAGUCAAAGCAGCAAUGCGCUUGGAGAGGAGUUCGCGGCAGAUUAGUUAGUUGGCGGGGUAAUGGCCCACCAAGACGAUGAUCUGUAUCCGGCCUGAGAGGGCGCACGGACACACUGGAACUGAAACACGGUCCAGACUCCUACGGGAGGCAGCAGUGGGGAAUUUUGCGCAAUGGGGAAACCCUGACGCAGCAACGCCGCGUGGAGGAUGAAGCCCCUUGGGGUGUAAACUCCUUUCGAUCGGGAAGAUAAUGACGGUACCGAUAUAAGAAGCCCCGGCUAACUUCGUGCCAGCAGCCGC
This 459-nucleotide ribosomal RNA is filed under the name uncultured bacterium. RNAcentral describes it as "SSU rRNA". It matches the Rfam family "Bacterial small subunit ribosomal RNA", at positions 26 to 518 of the family's 1533-position model. The record is from RNAcentral.